Molecule: ribosomal RNA, 429 nt
Filed under: uncultured prokaryote
Also listed under: 1 other name
Description: bacterial SSU rRNA
Rfam family: Bacterial small subunit ribosomal RNA
Source: RNAcentral
UAGGGAAUUUUCGGCAAUGGGGGAAACCCUGACCGAGCAAUGCCGCGUGAACGAUGAAGGUCUUCGGAUUGUAAAGUUCUGUUGUUAUGGACGAAUGAUGCGUAUAGGAAAUGAUAUGCAUUUGACGGUACUUAACUAGAAAGCCCCGGCUAACUAUGUGCCAGCAGCCGCGGUAAUACAUAGGGGGCAAGCGUUAUCCGGAAUUAUUGGGCGUAAAGCGUGCGUAGGCGGUUUAUUAAGUCUGGUGUGAAAUCCCAUAGCUUAACUAUGGCGGGUCAUUGGAAACUGGUAAACUUGAGUACAGUAGGGGCAAGUGGAAUUCCAAGUGGAGCGGUGGAAUGCGUAGAUAUUUGGAGGAACACCAGUGGCGAAGGCGGCUUGCUGGGCUGGAACUGACGCUGAGGCACGAAAGCGUAGGGAGCAAACAGG